CACAGAACAAGUACAUGAGAGCGAUUUCUUAUGGAAAAUUAAAUGGCGCAUAAGUCGUGUGCUCAGGUGCAAGUAGCUGGGCCAGAAGGACCUCGGCACGUUACGGAAUAUUUACUACAGGAACAGCAUGCAAGACAACAUGCUAGACACACGAAAGAUGGAAUAAAUGGAAGAAAAUGCAACACAGAUCUCAUGCUUAAGAGGGACAGAUUUACUCUGAAGAUUCAAUGAAAAAACAUCCACAAACAACUUUUCUACAAGAAACAAAACAUUUUAAAGAAAACAUUUACUUCAGCCGGGCGC
This 303-nucleotide long non-coding RNA is filed under the name Homo sapiens (human). Its description in RNAcentral is "HSALNT0346017". The record is from RNAcentral. Lineage: Eukaryota; Metazoa; Chordata; Mammalia; Primates; Hominidae.